GUUUUCACUCUUCUGCUCCCUUUACAGCCAAGUGUCUAUCUAUGAGGGAGACAAAAGGGAUUGUCGCAAGUUCUGCACCACGGGCAUCGACGGAGCGAUGACCAUUUGGGACUUUAAGAGUCUAGAAGCUUCUAUCCAGGGCCUCCGCAUCAUGUGAAGAAAUCUUUUGAAUAAAUGAAGUUGCUGCAGCCUCACUUUUCCGUCUCCCCUCCCCCAGUCCUCACCCUCCCCCCCCUCCCACCCCACCCUCCUCUCAGCCCCUCCACUUGUGUGGCGCAGGCAGCAAAAUCUCAUAACUGACCACCUAAUCGAGUGUCUGAAGCACUGAUCAGACCAUUAAACACUCUUAUGGGCGUGUCCAAACACACACACAUACACACUACACACACUAAAGCUGAUGUGAGAUCACUGAUUACUUUUUUUUUCUUUUCUUUGUUUGCUUUUAAAAUGAAGGUUAAUCAGGUGUAAAAGUGGAAAGGUCUUGUGACACGUACUAAACGUGAUAUGAAAUGUGUGUUGUUGUUUUUUUUUUUUUUUAUGUUAUCUAACCUCCAAGUACCAAAAGGUGAACACUAAAGCGCGUGUUUUAUCCAAAAUAAAAAUCAAAAUUCCAGGCUGUAUUUCGCCGCGCUCCAAUCCGAACGUGAUCUCCUGUGCAGGUGUGGUGAGCAACGUGCGAUUGUUGGUCCUCACCGAAGGAUCGUAAAUAUCCUUCAGCUGGUGAAACUGUGGUUUAUAUAAUGACCAGGGGUGUGUAAAUGCUCUGAGCACACGUUGACGGUUGUCUCGUAAGAAACCUGUACCGGAUCGGAUGUUGGAGAAGAGAAAGCAGCUGUUGAGACUGUGCAGCGUUACAGCUGGCCAGCACUGUUCUCUGUAACUACCACACUAAAACCACACAUGACGGAGGAUUUCUAUGUAACUGAUUAUGAGGUAGAAAUGAAAUAAAAGCUGAAUUACAUUUACACUACACGA
Fundulus heteroclitus (mummichog) is the source of this 975-nucleotide long non-coding RNA. RefSeq lists it as uncharacterized. Lineage: Eukaryota; Metazoa; Chordata; Actinopteri; Cyprinodontiformes; Fundulidae. The record is from RefSeq and is a predicted model, not a curated record. The transcript has 2 exons.